CGUCAUUUUCUGUCUUUUCUGGAUUAGCUAGUGAGCGGAUAGUGUGGUGUGAAAAGAUUGAGUCUUAGGUAACACGUGUUCCACAACUAAAGCGGGUUACGGAGUGAGGCCUAUCCAGUUUUGUGAGAUUUAAAUUAAGUGCGUCUUCCGGGUCCCAUAGUCGUUGUGAGCCACACGUGCAGGGGCCUUAGGCUAGCAGCACGUGGCGAAGGGAUGAAGCAGCCAAAUGAGACCGGGCCUUGGAGCGCCAACAAGCGGAAGGACAUAACCCAACAAGGAGCAGAAAUGAGGUUCCGGACUCUAAGGGGAUACAUUGGGAAGGACCUCUCAAUCCCCUCAAGUGAACAAGGUGUCGUCUCCUAAUAAGUGCUAAAGAUGGUGUGAAAGGCUGUUGCCAGCUCUAGAUGAUCUGCUCAGACUUUCCCCUUGUUCUGGGGUUGUCUCGUGGUCAUAGGACAAUGGGAGGAGGCGUGUCCUGUUGCGAUCUGGCCAAUCAUGGCUACUUAUGAGGAGACUUGUGGUCCACCCCUGUCCAUGUUGGAAGCACACCCAACAUGAUACCUGGUGUUUCCAUGAACACAUUGUCAUUGGAUUGAGGAUCACAGCUUCUUGAAUGAUUCUUUUGGUGUGAAGGGGGUCUUCUGCACAUGCUCAGAUCUUGCUGUGACCCUAGCCCUUCCUGAAAGCUCUUGAUUCAUCUUAGUGAUUUCAACUCUGUAAAACCUGUACAUCUGUUAUGAGUCUUUGUUACAUGUGGUAUAAAAGUUGAAUAAAGAAUUCUCAGAAUUU
Molecule: long non-coding RNA, 789 nt
Organism: Oryzias latipes (Japanese medaka)
Lineage: Eukaryota; Metazoa; Chordata; Actinopteri; Beloniformes; Adrianichthyidae
Source: RefSeq, a predicted model, not a curated record